RNAcentral lists this ribosomal RNA (252 nucleotides) under uncultured bacterium. Its description in RNAcentral is "partial 16S ribosomal RNA". It matches the Rfam family "Bacterial small subunit ribosomal RNA", at positions 524 to 776 of the family's 1533-position model. The record is from RNAcentral.
UACGUAGGUCCCGAGCGUUGUCCGGAUUUAUUGGGCGUAAAGCGAGCGCAGGUGGUUUAUUAAGUCUGGUGUAAAAGGCAGUGGCUCAACCAUUGUAUGCAUUGGAAACUGGUAGACUUGAGUGCAGGAGAGGAGAGUGGAAUUCCGUGUGUAGCGGUGAAAUGCGUAGAUAUACGGAGGAACACCAGUGGCGAAGGCGGCCUGCUGGACAUUAACUGACGCUGAGGCGCGAAAGCGUGGGGAGCAAACAGG